This 718-nucleotide long non-coding RNA is filed under the name Brassica napus (rape). RNAcentral's name for it is "long non-coding RNA (BNAP_LNC011169)". Lineage: Eukaryota; Viridiplantae; Streptophyta; Magnoliopsida; Brassicales; Brassicaceae. The record is from RNAcentral.
AAUUUUCUAUUCCUAAACAAUAAUUUAUACAUCUAAUAUUUCUUAAAGUAAAUUUAUUUUCUGUGUAGUACUGAAAACAAAUGUUUUAUAUUCAUGUUAUUUAGAGUUCACAAUUAUGUUAAAUAACUUAGUAAACAAUAUUAUUAAUAUGAUGUUUGUGAACUUUUUUGGUAUUACAUAAUAUAAAGUACUAAAAAUAGAUGGAAAAUAAUAACUAUUCAAAAAAUUGAUAUGGAGUCUUGGUAGUACAAAAGAUUAUGUAUAUAUAUAUAUAUAUAUAGGUUAACUGAACUUAACCCGUCUUUAAUAGAAUGCAUCCAUGUUUCUGUCUCUCUUCUCAUUGUCUUAUGUUCUUGUUUCUGUCUCUCUUCUCAUGUCAUAUGUUGUUACAUCUCUGAAGUAGCAACGUGAAAGCAGUUGUUGCAUAAUCCUUGACUACACAGAUACAUUGAUUACAUCGUUAGCCACACUCUCUGACUCGGAACAUGACUAAUACUGAAACAUGAUUUAUUGUAAUUUGAUACAGCUUUCUACAUUUUAGAAUAUGUUUUCGUUUUUGAAAACAAUUAAACACCAAACACUUUUACAGGGUUUCCUCAAAGAAUUGAAAACCAUACAGUACAACAUAGACACCACAUCUCACUCUGCACACUAUACAUUACAUUCCAAAAAACAGAACAAAAUUAAAGCCAUAACAAUUUAGCCUGUAUAUAUCUCU